This is a long non-coding RNA of Humulus lupulus (European hop), 190 nucleotides long. RefSeq lists it as uncharacterized. NCBI's taxonomy places the organism in Eukaryota, Viridiplantae, Streptophyta, Magnoliopsida, Rosales, Cannabaceae. The record is from RefSeq and is a predicted model, not a curated record. The transcript is spliced from 3 exons.
UUGCUACCCAAUUUCAUACCCAAUUGGAAAGAUUUUGGAUUGGGUAUUAGGACAUAAUGAAGCUUUAUUUAGGCGAGCUCAGUUAAAAGUCCUUGUCUCCAUCCACAGCCAAGAGGCCGGCAAGGGUGGUGAGCUUACACAUGACGAGACAACAAUUAUAAGUGGGGCACUAGAUUUAAUUGAGAAGGCA